GGUUAAGCGACUAAGCGUACACGGUGGAUGCCCUGGCAGUCAGAGGCGAUGAAGGACGUGCUAAUCUGCGAUAAGCGUCGGUAAGGUGAUAUGAACCGUUAUAACCGGCGAUUUCCGAAUGGGGAAACCCAGUGUGAUUCGUCACACUAUCAUUAACUGAAUCCAUAGGUUAAUGAGGCGAACCGGGGGAACUGAAACAUCUAAGUACCCCGAGGAAAAGAAAUCAACCGAGAUUCCCCCAGUAGCGGCGAGCGAACGGGGAGCAGCCCAGAGCCUGAAUCAGUGUGUGUGUUAGUGGAAGCGUCUGGAAAGGCGUGCGAUACAGGGUGACAGCCCCGUACACAAAAAUGCACAUACUGUGAGCUCGAUGAGUAGGGCGGGACACGUGGUAUCCUGUCUGAAUAUGGGGGGACCAUCCUCCAAGGCUAAAUACUCCUGACUGACCGAUAGUGAACCAGUACCGUGAGGGAAAGGCGAAAAGAACCCCGGCGAGGGGAGUGAAAAAGAACCUGAAACCGUGUACGUACAAGCAGUGGGAGCACGCUUAGGCGUGUGACUGCGUACCUUUUGUAUAAUGGGUCAGCGACUUAUAUUCUGUAGCAAGGUUAACCGAAUAGGGGAGCCGAAGGGAAACCGA
Molecule: ribosomal RNA, 637 nt
Filed under: Shigella flexneri
Lineage: Bacteria; Pseudomonadati; Pseudomonadota; Gammaproteobacteria; Enterobacterales; Enterobacteriaceae
Description: partial 23S ribosomal RNA
Rfam family: Bacterial large subunit ribosomal RNA
Source: RNAcentral